AACGAACGCUAUCGGUAUGCUUAACACAUGCAAGUCGGACGGACUAACUAGGGCUUUCCUCAUUUAGCUAGUGGCAGACGGGUGAGUAACACGUGGGAAUCACCCCCUUAUAACGGAAUAAUUUUUAGAAAAAAAAGCAAAUACCGCAUAUUCAUAUCUUGGAAAAGAUUUAUCGCUGAUGAAUGACCCCGUUUCUGAUUAGUAAGUUGGUGUGGUAACGGCUUACCAAGCCGGCGAACGGUACCUGGUCUGAGAGGAUGAUCAGCCACACGGGGGCUGAGACGCAGCCCAGACUCCUACGGGAGGGAGCAGAGGGGGAUAUUGGACAAUGGGCGAAGGCCUGAUCCAGCAAUACCGGGUAAGUUAUAAAGGCCGUGGGGUUGUAAAGCUCUUUUAGCAAGGAAGAUAAUGACGUUACUUGCAGAAAAAGCCCCGGCUAACUCCGUG
This 447-nucleotide ribosomal RNA is filed under the name uncultured bacterium. RNAcentral's name for it is "partial 16S ribosomal RNA". It matches the Rfam family "Bacterial small subunit ribosomal RNA", at positions 29 to 507 of the family's 1533-position model. The record is from RNAcentral.